GAGCGGAUGACGGGAGCUUGCUCCUGGAUUCAGCGGCGGACGGGUGAGUAAUGCCUAGGAAUCUGCCUGGUAGUGGGGGACAACGUUUCGAAAGGAACGCUAAUACCGCAUACGUCCUACGGGAGAAAGCAGGGGACCUUCGGGCCUUGCGCUAUCAGAUGAGCCUAGGUCGGAUUAGCUAGUUGGUGAGGUAAUGGCUCACCAAGGCGACGAUCCGUAACUGGUCUGAGAGGAUGAUCAGUCACACUGGAACUGAGACACGGUCCAGACUCCUACGGGAGGCAGCAGUGGGGAAUAUUGGACAAUGGGCGAAAGCCUGAUCCAGCCAUGCCGCGUGUGUGAAGAAGGUCUUCGGAUUGUAAAGCACUUUAAGUUGGGAGGAAGGGCAGUAAGUUAAUACCUUGCUGUUUUGACGUUACCGACAGAAUAAGCACCGGCUAACUCUGUG
This 448-nucleotide ribosomal RNA is filed under the name uncultured bacterium. RNAcentral describes it as "bacterial SSU rRNA". It matches the Rfam family "Bacterial small subunit ribosomal RNA", at positions 64 to 507 of the family's 1533-position model. The record is from RNAcentral.